Mycena vulgaris is the source of this 72-nucleotide non-coding RNA. The record is from the annotation of a GenBank genome assembly. NCBI's taxonomy places the organism in Eukaryota, Fungi, Basidiomycota, Agaricomycetes, Agaricales, Mycenaceae.
UCAGACAUGGUGUAUUGGGAACACAGCGUCUUCUCCCAGAGGCAGUCCAGGGUUCGACUCCUUGUGUCUGAA